RNAcentral lists this ribosomal RNA (440 nucleotides) under uncultured bacterium. RNAcentral's name for it is "partial 16S ribosomal RNA". It matches the Rfam family "Bacterial small subunit ribosomal RNA", at positions 338 to 795 of the family's 1533-position model. The record is from RNAcentral.
CCUACGGGUGGCAGCAGUGGGGAAUAUUGCACAAUGGAGGGAACUCUGAUGCAGCGACGCCGCGUGAGUGAAGAAGUAAUUAUUUAUGGUAAGCUCCAUCAGCAGGGAAGAAAGUGCCGGUACCUGAAAAAGAAGCUACGGCUAAAUACGUGCCAGCAGCCGCGGUAAUCCGUAUGGAGCAAGCGUUAUCCGGUGUUACGGGGGGUAAAGGGAGAGUAGGUGGCAGAGCAAGUCCGAAGUGAAAACCCAAAGCUCAACUAUGGGAAUGCUUUAGAAACUGGUCAGCUAGAGUGCAGGAGAGGCAAGUGGAAUGCUUAGUGUAGCGGUGAAAUGCGUAGAUAUUAGGAGGAACACCAGUGGCGAAGGCGGCUUGCUGGACUGUAACUGACACUGAGGCUCGAAAGCGUGGGGAGCAAACAGGAUUAGAUACCCUAGUAGUC